UGGGCCGCGUCUCUGAUCCAUCGGAAAACCCAAAUCACGCCCACGCCCACGCCCACGCCCACCGGUCCAUGUGCCGUGCCGUGCCGACGCCGCUCGCUGCCUCGCUCCUCCGUGCAUUCAAUCAGACUCGGUGAUCUUCCAGCCGCCCGCCAAGAACAAACCGACGCGGCGUGGCUGACACUCGUCGACCCAUCCCAAUAGAAAAAUCGGAACCGUCCAAGCCCGCCUCCUAUAAACUAACCAACGACCAACCUUCCUCAGCCCGGCCCGGGUGGCAGAGGCAGUCCCCAGAUUCAUUCUCUUCUCGCUGCACGCCGCACUGCGCCAGCGUCAGCAUGGGCGGCUGCGGCCUCGGACGCGGCCGCCGCACCGCCUGCCUGCUGCUGCUCCUCCCGCCGCUUCUCCUGUUCGCCGUGGCCGAUGCCGCCGCCUCGGGGAAGGAGAAGCAGGGGGUGUCCGGUAAGCUGCGGUUCCGGCGGGAGAGCGGGACGUUCAAGGUGGUGCAGGUGGCGGACAUGCACUACGCGGACGGCCGGAGCACGGCCUGCGAGGACGUGCUCCCUUCCCAGGUGGCCGGCUGCACCGACCUCAACACCACCGCCUUCCUCUACCGCGUCUUCCGCGCCGAGGACCCCGACCUCGUCGUCUUCACAGGUGAUAACAUCUAUGGUGCUGAUUCAACUGAUGCAGCCAAGUCUAUGGAUGCAGCAAUUGCUCCAGCCAUUGACAUGAAACUGCCUUGGGCUGCUGUGAUCGGGAACCAUGACCAAGAGGGUACGCUAUCGCGUGAGGGUGUGAUGCGUCACCUUGUGGGCAUGAAAAACACCCUUGCAAGCUUCAAUCCGGAAGGAAUUGAAAUUGAUGGUUACGGAAAUUACAAUUUGGAAGUUUCCGGGGUUGAAGGGACAUCCAUGGAUGAAAAAUCAGUGCUCAACCUGUAUUUCCUGGACAGCGGUGACUAUUCCACUGUGCCGUCAAUCAAUGGUUAUGGUUGGAUCAAGGCUUCACAGCAAGUCUGGUUCCAACAAACAUCUUCAAGUCUACAGGCAAAGUAUAUGAAUAAGAACCCGAAACAGAAGGAACCAGCACCUGGCCUUGUAUUUUUCCACAUUCCACUACCAGAGUUCAGCAGUUUUACGGCAUCCAAUUUCACAGGAGUAAAGCAGGAGGGUAUCAGCUCAGCAUCAAUUAACUCUGGGUUCUUUGCCUCCAUGGUGGAGGCUGGAGAUGUGAGAGCUGCCUUUGUGGGACAUGAUCACAUUAAUGACUUCUGUGGGAAGCUCAGUGGUAUUCAGCUCUGCUAUGCUGGUGGAUUUGGUUACCAUGCCUAUGGGAAAGCUGGGUGGUCAAGAAGAGCGAGGGUACUGUCUGUGCAACUUGAGAAAACAGACAGCGGUGAAUGGCGAGGAGUCAAGUCCAUCAAGACAUGGAAGAGGCUUGAUGAUAAACAUCUGAGCACAAUUGACUCUGAGGUUCUCUGGAACAGAGGCUCUAAUGGGAGGCGCGGGAAAAAUCCUGAUGGUAGUUAACUUUUGAUGCAGACAGGAAUGGUGCUCCAUAAGGGAUCUCUACAUCGGUGUGUAUUGUUGGAUGGCCAGUUUACUAUAGAAUCAGAAAUAUGCAGAAGUGUGUACAUGGGGGAGAAGGUCAAAUACAGACACAUACACGCAGGUGGUCUCAUAGACUCGUAUAUAGUGUGGUCAAAGGAAAACGAGAAUGCAAUGUCAUUGUAGUCUCAUCUCUCGUGUAUUGUUAAACUCGGUCGGAAAGAGAAAGACUGUCCUUCCAAUAUUAUAUUAAAAAAAGACCGAAACAUGGUUUCUGUCAAGAAAAUCCUUGAACCCUAGUGCCCAUUACUAGCAGGCUGUCACCAUGUAACCCAGGAGCAGGCAAAGCACAACAAGUGGAUUUUUUUAACCAUGUUAGAAAUUCGUCCUCGAGGGAAUCGAAUCGAAGACCUAGAGGGGUUACUCGGAAGUUUUAACCAUUACACUAGAGGCCCUUUCACUUAUCUCAUGUAUUGUUACUAGCACCGUCUAGCUGCAACUGAAACCUCAGAGCUGCCACAAUAUCAUUUUUCA
RNA transcript from Zea mays, 2081 nucleotides. RefSeq lists it as uncharacterized. The record is from RefSeq and is marked validated. The transcript is spliced from 5 exons. NCBI's taxonomy places the organism in Eukaryota, Viridiplantae, Streptophyta, Magnoliopsida, Poales, Poaceae.